RNAcentral lists this long non-coding RNA (1967 nucleotides) under Canis lupus familiaris (dog). Its description in RNAcentral is "lncRNA (ENSCAFG00000055017.1, ENSCAFG00805003374.1)". Lineage: Eukaryota; Metazoa; Chordata; Mammalia; Carnivora; Canidae. The record is from RNAcentral.
UUUUUUUUUUUUUUUGAAGUUUCCAUCAUUCAGUUAGGUCCGCCUGAAAGUACUGAUGGGAAUGAAUGCAAAUGGACAAGAUAAAAGAGCCCAUUCAGGGGAAAGUUAAUUUGCCUAAGGAUACUCUGUUGACAUUUGUUUAGCUUGAGAUGACAGUUCAGCAAACGGAAAUCCUUUGCCACAAAUCUUUGGUAUGAGCUGUGUCAUAACAUUUUGUUUGAAAAUAGCCUGCAGACCUAAAAUGAAUUUGGACAGUCAAAGUGAAUUAAUUAAGCUGAAAAUAACUCUCAAAACAAUGAUUUCCCUGUGUGUGUUUUAUUCAAAUCUUCCGGGUCACUAAUUUGUCAUGUUUUCUUUAAGAGGAGAAAACAAUGAGGAGGUGUAUUUGGCGCCCUCUAUGGUAAAAUAUUCUUGAUUUAACUACAGUAAAGAAAGAGCUGCUUGUUCUAAAUGAAGGUUCCCAUAAACCCUCAUUAUAAAUAUGUUCACCAUUUUGGAUGAAAUGCUUUCUGAAACAGCACUAGAUUUCCCGUCUCCUAAGAAGAUUCUGAACGUGAUUAUGAACAUAUUUGUCAGGCCCAGUUUGAGCUACACAACACAGUGGCCUUCUCAAAACCAAAGGGCUUGGAAAGGGUAUUAGAGUGCCUGCAAUUUACUCUAAAAUCCUUCAGUGUGGUCUGUACAUGUGACUGAGUCUCAGUCCACUUCCCAGGAACAGCCAGGUCCACUCAAUUGGAAAUACAAAACUCCAGAGGUAGUUAUAACUUACAUUUGAAAGACUCAUCAAAAGCCCACUUUGGCUCUCUUUGUCUUCAAUCAACACCAGAUAAUUUGCUAAUUAGCAUAAUGGGUGCUAAGAAUAAUUUUUCAUUGAUGAAAUGAUGGAAUAGCCAAGAAUAUUGUCUAGAAUCUAGACUCAAGACACUUUUGCCCAUGUAGGAGCAGUGUGUAUACAUCUGAUGAGCUCUUUGCUUAAUUUUAAUUUUCUAGUAGCCACGUUGAAAAAGUGAAAAGAAACAGGUGAAAUUAAUUUGAAUAAUACAUUUUAUUGAAUCCAAUAUAACCAAGUCAUCAUUUCAGCAUGUAAUUGAUAUUUAAAAUAUCUUUGAGAUGUUUUACAUUAUUUUUCUUGUCCUACGUCUCAGAAAUCCAAUGUGUAUUUUACAUAUUACUAGCCAUACCAGCACUGUGCUAGAACCUUUAUGUGUAUUUUAUAUCUCUAAUCCUUAAAGCAACCCUGAAAAGCUCAGGUAUUUUGGACUCAUUUUACAGAGAAGCAAACUGAGGCAUGGAAAUAUGAAGUAACUUUCUCAGGUGACAUGCAGUUGUCAGGGGCAGCCAGAGGUAGUAGGCUAUAGAGUCACAUUUAGGCCCCCUCUUUGUGGCAGGCACCCAUCCUCCACCUGCUGAUGCAGGGAUACAAAGGCCCAGACCUCCAGUCUCAAUUUCAACUUUCUUACAGAACAGCCCUCAGUUACAGUCACACCGGGCUCACUUUCUCCCCAUGGAGAAGGUGCUGGAUCCUGCCCUCCUCACAGCCACAGGGCACCUGUCCCCAGAGACCUUCCCAGGCAACCUCUGCAGUGUUUCAAAGGGACCCAGUCUAAGACACCAGGAUUCGACUCAAUCUCCAAAGCCCUUGCUUAGAUGUUUCCUUCUCUUGGGGCACCCAGCUGGCUCAGUGGGUAGAGCAUGUAGGGGUUGAUCUAGGGGUUGUAAGUUUGAGCCCCACGUUGGGUGUAGAGAUUACUUGAAAAAUAAAAUCUUAAAAAAAAGAAGAAGAAGAAAUGUCUUCCUCUUUAUGGGCUAACUGUAAAGAGGGUGUGGUGCCCUGCAUUGCUGACCCUUCGGUCUUUAGGAGCUAGGCAAUAGAGCUCAUUAGGAAAGCAAGCUGAGAAGUAAGCUAUCUGCAUUUUUAGAGCACACAGACAUAGAAGCAGGCACAUAAAUCAACAAGAAUGACAUCG